RNAcentral lists this long non-coding RNA (220 nucleotides) under Mytilus galloprovincialis (Mediterranean mussel). The record is from RNAcentral. Lineage: Eukaryota; Metazoa; Mollusca; Bivalvia; Mytilida; Mytilidae.
GUUGUUUGUAUUUAAUUAAAUAUGUUGAAGUCGGUCUACAAUUUCGCCGAAUAUUUACGAUGUAUUAUGUUGUCUACAGCUAGCUGCUACUAGGUAAGUUCAUGCCUAACAAUUUGUACAUCAGUGUUUUUACCCAUCCAAGGUGACUAUUUUAUUUGAGAAAAAUGUUAUUUUCAUUAUUAAUCCAUCAAAGGCAAUUCAUAUACCAAUCAGUGAUAUC